CCUACGGGAGGCAGCAGUGAGGAAUAUUGGUCAAUGGGCGCGAGCCUGAACCAGCCAAGUCGCGUGAGGGAAGACGGCCCUACGGGUUGUAAACCUCUUUUGCCGGGGAGCAACGGGCGCCACGUGUGGCGCCACUGAGAGUACCCGGAGAAAAAGCAUCGGCAAACUCCGUGCCAGCAGCCGCGGUAAUACGGAGGACGCGAGGGUUAUCCGGAUUUAUUGGGUUUAAGGGGUGCGUAGGCGGAGCGUUAAGUCAGUGGUCAAAUUGAGGGGCUCAACCCCGUCCCGCCGUUGAAACUGGCGUUCUUGAGUGGAAGAGAAGUAUGCGGAAUGCGUGGUGUAGCGGUGAAAUGCAUAGAUAUCACGCAGAACCCCGAUUGCGAAGGCAGCAUGCCGGCUUCCGACUGACGCUGAUGCACGAAAGCGUGGGGAUCGAACAGGAUUAGAUACCCUGGUAGUC
This 460-nucleotide ribosomal RNA is filed under the name uncultured bacterium. RNAcentral describes it as "partial 16S ribosomal RNA". It matches the Rfam family "Bacterial small subunit ribosomal RNA", at positions 338 to 795 of the family's 1533-position model. The record is from RNAcentral.